CCGUGCGGCCACAUGCUCGGGUACGCACCGGAUCCCGUUCGAUCUCCGAAGUUAAGCCCGUGACAGCUCCGAUAGUACUGCGAUGGGCGACCGCGUGGGAACACUGAGUGCUGCACUUU
RNAcentral lists this ribosomal RNA (119 nucleotides) under Nitrospira sp. Lineage: Bacteria; Pseudomonadati; Nitrospirota; Nitrospiria; Nitrospirales; Nitrospiraceae. The record is from RNAcentral.